UGGGGGAAUAUUGCACAAUGGGCGAAAGCCUGAUGCAGCAACGCCGCGUGAGUGAUGAAGGCCUUUGGGUUGUAAAGCUCUGUCUUUUGGGACGAUAAUGACGGUACCAAAGGAGGAAGCCACGGCUAACUACGUGCCAGCAGCCGCGGUAAUACGUAGGUGGCAAGCGUUGUCCGGAUUUACUGGGCGUAAAGGAUGCGUAGGCGGAUUUUUAAGUGAGAUGUGAAAUACCCGGGCUUAACUUGGGUGCUGCAUUUCAAACUGGGAAUCUAGAGUGCGGGAGAGGAGAAUGGAAUUCCUAGUGUAGCGGUGAAAUGCGUAGAGAUUAGGAAGAACACCAGUGGCGAAGGCGAUUCUCUGGACCGUAACUGACGCUGAGGCAUGAAAGCGUGGGUAGCAAACAGGAUUAGAUACCCUGGUAGUCCACGCCGUAAACGAUGAGUACUAGGUGUAGGAGGUAUCGACCCCUUCUGUGCCGCAGUUAACACAAUAAGUACUCCGCCUGGGAAGUACGAUCGCAAGAUUAAAAGCUCAAAUGAAUUGACGGGGUCAUAGCUGUUUCC
This 563-nucleotide ribosomal RNA is filed under the name uncultured bacterium. RNAcentral describes it as "partial 16S ribosomal RNA". It matches the Rfam family "Bacterial small subunit ribosomal RNA", at positions 354 to 937 of the family's 1533-position model. The record is from RNAcentral.